UGCUGCGGUGAAUACGUUCCCGGGCCUUGUACACACCGCCCGUCACACCAUGGGAGUUGGUUCUACCCGAAGCCGGUGCGCUAACCGUAAGGAAGCAGCCGACCACGGUAGGGUCAGCGACUGGGGUGAAGUCGUAACAAGGUAGCCGUAGGGGAACCUGCGGCUGGAUCACCUCCUUU
RNAcentral lists this non-coding RNA (179 nucleotides) under Beta vulgaris subsp. vulgaris (sugar beet). RNAcentral's name for it is "Bacterial small subunit ribosomal RNA". It matches the Rfam family "Bacterial small subunit ribosomal RNA", at positions 1355 to 1533 of the family's 1533-position model. The record is from Rfam by way of RNAcentral. Lineage: Eukaryota; Viridiplantae; Streptophyta; Magnoliopsida; Caryophyllales; Amaranthaceae.